This 321-nucleotide ribosomal RNA is filed under the name uncultured eukaryote. RNAcentral describes it as "partial 18S ribosomal RNA". It matches the Rfam family "Eukaryotic small subunit ribosomal RNA", at positions 1470 to 1796 of the family's 1831-position model. The record is from RNAcentral.
CCCUUAGAUGUUCUGGGCCGCACGCGCGCUACACUGACACACUCAACAAGCUUAUAACCUUGUCCGAGAGGUCUGGGAAAUCUUUGAAUAUGUGUCGUGAUGGGGAUAGAUCGUUGCAAUUCUCGAUCUUCAACGAGGAAUUCCUAGUAAACGCAGUUCAUCAGACUGCAUUGAUUACGUCCCUGCCCUUUGUACACACCGCCCGUCGCACCUACCGAUUGAAUGGUCCGGUGAAAUCUCGGGACGGCGGCUUGGUCGCUUGCGUCCGACUGCUGAAACUUGAUUAAACCAUAUCAUUUAGAGGAAGGUGAAGUCGUAACA